CUUUCUUGUCUUUCUUCUUCUUUUCUUUCUUUUUCAAGUUGCCACGUGCCAGCAGCUUCUUCCGUUCCUGAGCGACCAGUUCUCUGUAAUGGUCAUCACAGGGGUGGUCCCACAUGGACUGGCCAUUGUUGAAGUUGAAAUAGUAGAUAUCACCAGUGACAUCCUGGCAGGGCUUCCACUGGGGUGGUAACGGAGCCACAAUGCCUUCCCUGGCCAGCCACAUCAGCUCAGGCUCCUUCUCUGGCUCAAUGCCGAUGUCUCUCGCAAAAUCCCAGACUUCUUGCUCACUGGGAACAUAUGUCUCAUCAUAAUCUUCUUCCAGUAUGAUCUGGUCACCAAUGCGUACAACACCUCCUUCCAUGGCUCCCUGCAUCCUUCACUCGGCCCCAACGGACUCUCAUCGGGCCGCGCCGCCCCGCGCC
This 422-nucleotide long non-coding RNA is filed under the name Gallus gallus (chicken). The record is from RNAcentral. Lineage: Eukaryota; Metazoa; Chordata; Aves; Galliformes; Phasianidae.